GUGAGAAAUCUGCCUUCAACACUGGGAUAACUCCGGGAAACCGGGGCUAAUACCGGAUAUGAAAUCUGCGGGCAUCCGCGGAUUUGGAAAGUUUUUCGGUUGAAGAUGAUCUCGCGGCCUAUCAGCUUGUUGGUGAGGUAAUGGCUCACCAAGGCGACGACGGGUAGCCGGCCUGAGAGGGCGACCGGCCACACUGGGACUGAGACACGGCCCAGACUCCUACGGGAGGCAGCAGUGGGGAAUAUUGGGCAAUGGAGGAAACUCUGACCCAGCGACGCCGCGUGCGGGAUGAAGGCCUUCGGGUUGUAAACCGCUCUCAGCAGGGAAGAAGCGAAAGUGACGGUACCUGCAGAAGAAGCACCGGCUAACUAUGUGCCAGCAGCCGCGGUAAUACAUAGGGUGCAAGCGUUGUCCGGAAUUAUUGGGCGUAAAGAGCUCGUAGGUGGUUCGUCACGUCGGAUGUGAAACUCUGGGGCUUAACCCCAGACCUGCAUUCGAUACGGGCGAGCUUGAGUAUGGUAGGGGAGUCUGGAAUUCCUGGUGUAGCGGUGGAAUGCGCAGAUAUCAGGAGGAACACC
This 578-nucleotide ribosomal RNA is filed under the name uncultured Actinomycetes bacterium. Its description in RNAcentral is "bacterial SSU rRNA". It matches the Rfam family "Bacterial small subunit ribosomal RNA", at positions 117 to 710 of the family's 1533-position model. The record is from RNAcentral. Lineage: Bacteria; Bacillati; Actinomycetota; Actinomycetes.